Molecule: long non-coding RNA, 647 nt
Filed under: Brassica napus (rape)
Lineage: Eukaryota; Viridiplantae; Streptophyta; Magnoliopsida; Brassicales; Brassicaceae
Description: long non-coding RNA (BNAP_LNC015644)
Source: RNAcentral
UAUUAUUUUGUUAUCACCUACUAUCUCAAUGUAUAAACAGAAAUAUUGUAUGACCUGGUUUUUCACUGCUGCAAGUUCAGCCUUUAACUGAUUAACCGUUUCCUAGAGUUCAUAUUGCUUCUCUUGCAUUUGAGAAAUAGUCUUGUGCUUAACUUGGAAGCAAGCUAACUUGUUCUUACUCAUAUUUCUGCCCAUUACUCUCAUACAACCAGGAUUAUCAGGUCCUAACUGUUUGACGAGUGUAUCCUCAUCUUGAUUUUUAGCAGACGAUGGAUUGGCACCACUACCAAGCUCAGCUGCCUUUUUCUGUACAUCAGACAACAAACGAUUAACAUGAAAAGCAUUUGAUAUAGCAAACCAGAAUUUAUGUUUUUCACUUACAAUAUUUUCAGCCGCAUUUGUGUUUAUAGGAGUUCCAUCUUUCCGGGUACGAGACUUGACCCAAAUUUUAUGUCUUGUCACUUGAGAUGGGUUAUCAGAACUAUUUUUCUAUGGAAACAUUGUAUGUUAAUAUACCAACGUACCAAUUUAAAAGGAAACAACGGGAAGAAAGAAUACUUACCAUGUCUUCUGCUAGUCUAACCAUUCCCUUCCGACUACAAGUGUGAGGUAUCUGUUUGUGUCUUCUGUCCUUGUAGCUAUCACUC